This 1532-nucleotide ribosomal RNA is filed under the name metagenome. RNAcentral describes it as "bacterial SSU rRNA". It matches the Rfam family "Bacterial small subunit ribosomal RNA". The record is from RNAcentral.
AGAGUUUGAUUCUGGCUCAGAACGAACGCUGGCAGCGUGGAUUAGGCAUGCAAGUCGAACGUGAAGCCGUUGAACAAUCUUUCGGGAGAGUGAUUCGGUGGAAAGUGGCGGAAGGGUGAGUAACGCGUGGGUGAGCUGUCUCGAAGUUGGGGACAACCAGAUGAAAAUCUGGCUAAUACCGAAUGUGGUCUUCUGGCGCAUGUCAGGAUGACUAAAGGUGGGGAUUCUUCGGAACCUGCCGCUUUGAGAGGUGCCCGCGUGCCAUCAGCUUGUUGGUAGGGUAAUGGCCUACCAAGGCUUACGGCUAGCCGGCCUGAGAGGGUGAUCGGCCACACUGGGACUGAGACACUGCCCAGACUCCUACGGGAGGCUGCAGUCGAGGAUCAUUCGCAAUGCGCGAAAGCGUGACGAUGCGACGCUGCGUGGGGGAUGAAGGCCUUCGGGUCGUAAACUCCUGUCAUGAGGGAACAGUAUCCCUGUAAUUAAUAGUUGCGGGGCUCGAUGGUACCUCAAGAGGAAGCCACGGCUAACUCUGUGCCAGCAGCCGCGGUAAUACAGAGGUGGCGAGCGUUGUUCGGAUUUACUGGGCGUAAAGGGUGCGUAGGUGGUUUUGUGUGUCGGAUGUGAAAUCCCAUGGCUCAACUGUGGAAUUGCAUUCGAAACUGCGGAACUAGAGUGUAGGAUGGGAGAGCGGAAUUCUUGGUGUAGCGGUGAAAUGCGUUGAUAUCAAGAAGAACACCGGUGGCGAAGGCGGCUCUCUGGAAUGCUACUGACACUGAGGCACGAAAGCUGGGGGAGCGAACAGGAUUAGAUACCCUGGUAGUCCCAGCCGUAAACGGUGCACACUUGGUGUGGGGAGAUUUAACCCUCUCCGUGCCGGAGUUAACGCGUUAAGUGUGCCGCCUGGGGAGUACGGCCGCAAGGCUAAAACUCAAAGAAAUUGACGGGGGCCCGCACAAGCGGAGGAGCAUGUGGCUUAAUUCGAUGCAACGCGAAGAACCUUACCAGGGCUUGACAUGGGGACCCCUCGGGGGUGGUAGCGAAAGUUACCUUUACCAUCACAGGUGCUGCAUGGCUGUCGUCAGUUCGUGCCGUGAGGUGUUGGGUUAAGUCCCGUAACGAACGCAACCCUUGUGGCUAGUUGCCACCGGUGGUGAUGGCCGCCGAGCACUCUAGCCAGACUGCCCGUACAAGCGGGAGGAAGGUGGGGAUGACGUCAAGUCAGUAUGGCCCUUACGUCCUGGGCUGCACACGUGCUACAAUGGUCGGUACAGUGGGAUGCAAUACCGCGAGGUGGAGCAAAUCCCCAAAGCCGCCCUCAGUUCGGAUUGAAGUCUGCAACUCGACUUCAUGAAGUUGGAUUCGCUAGUAACGGCGCAUCAGCUACGGCGCCGUGAAUACGUUCCCGGGCCUUGUACACACCGCCCGUCACAUCAUGAAAGCCGUCUGCACCCGAAGUCGCUGAGCCAACCAUUUAUGGAGGCAGGUGCCGAAGGUGUGGGUGGUGAUUGGGAUGAAGUCGGAACAAGGUA